RNAcentral lists this ribosomal RNA (292 nucleotides) under uncultured bacterium. RNAcentral's name for it is "partial 16S ribosomal RNA". It matches the Rfam family "Bacterial small subunit ribosomal RNA", at positions 505 to 796 of the family's 1533-position model. The record is from RNAcentral.
GUGCCAGCAGCCGCGGUAAUACGGGGGGGGCAAGCGUUGUUCGGAAUUACUGGGCGUAAAGGGCGCGUAGGCGGUUGGAUAAGUCAGCUGUGAAAACCACGGGCUUAACUCGUGGCCUGCAGUUGAGACUGUCUGGCUUGAGUGUGGGAGAGGAGAGUGGAAUUCCUGGUGUAGCGGUGAAAUGCGUAGAUAUCAGGAGGAACACCGGUGGCGAAGGCGGCUCUCUGGACCACAACUGACGCUGAGGCGCGAAAGCUAGGGGAGCAAACAGGAUUAGAAACCCCCGUAGUCC